Molecule: ribosomal RNA, 492 nt
Filed under: uncultured bacterium
Lineage: Bacteria
Description: partial 16S ribosomal RNA
Rfam family: Bacterial small subunit ribosomal RNA
Source: RNAcentral
AGUGAACGCUGGCGGUAGGCCUAACACAUGCAAGUCGAACGGCAGCACAGUAAGAGCUUGCUCUUACGGGUGGCGAGUGGCGGACGGGUGAGGAAUACAUCGGAAUCUACUUUUUCGUGGGGGAUAACGUAGGGAAACUUACGCUAAUACCGCAUACGACCUACGGGUGAAAGCAGGGGAUCUUCGGACCUUGCGCGAUUGAAUGAGCCGAUGUCGGAUUAGCUAGUUGGCGGGGUAAAGGCCCACCAAGGCGACGAUCCGUAGCUGGUCUGAGAGGAUGAUCAGCCACACUGGAACUGAGACACGGUCCAGACUCCUACGGGAGGCAGCAGUGGGGAAUAUUGGGCAAUGGGCGCAAGCCUGAUCCAGCCAUACCGCGUGGGUGAAGAAGGCCUUCGGGUUGUAAAGCCCUUUUGUUGGGAAAGAAAAUCAGCAGGUUAAUACCCCGCUGUUCUGACGGUACCCAAAGAAUAAGCACCGGCUAACUUCGUG